RNAcentral lists this ribosomal RNA (253 nucleotides) under uncultured bacterium. RNAcentral's name for it is "partial 16S ribosomal RNA". It matches the Rfam family "Bacterial small subunit ribosomal RNA", at positions 524 to 776 of the family's 1533-position model. The record is from RNAcentral.
UACGUAGGGUGCGAGCGUUGUCCGGAAUUACUGGGCGUAAAGAGCGUGUAGGCGGCCAAGCAGGUCCGUUGUGAAAACUGGAGGCUUAACCUCCAGACGUCGACGGAAACCGCGUGGCUAGAGUCCGGAAGAGGAGAGUGGAAUUCCUGGUGUAGCGGUGAAAUGCGCAGAUAUCAGGAAGAACACCAAUGGCGAAGGCAGCUCUCUGGGACGGUACUGACGCUGAGACGCGAAAGCGUGGGGAGCGAACAGG